Brachypodium distachyon (stiff brome) is the source of this 136-nucleotide non-coding RNA. NCBI's taxonomy places the organism in Eukaryota, Viridiplantae, Streptophyta, Magnoliopsida, Poales, Poaceae. The record is from Rfam.
UUAUUAUUCCUUCCGUCCAACAAAAGAUGUCUCAACUUUGACUAAAUUUGAAUGCAUAUAUAUACUAAGUUAUGUCUAAAUACAUUCAAGUUUUGACAAACUUGAGACAUCUUUUGUUGGACGGAGGGAGUACAGG